CGGAAGGCUUCAAGUUCUCGGCCGGCGCCCCGAGGGCGUCCCCGACGGCCAGACCGAGCAGCGCGCCCCGGGC
RNAcentral lists this transfer RNA (73 nucleotides) under Streptomyces mutabilis. Lineage: Bacteria; Bacillati; Actinomycetota; Actinomycetes; Kitasatosporales; Streptomycetaceae. The record is from RNAcentral.